GUUUUCCCUUAUACCAACCAGACGAAUUUCAGUCGGCUCAGAAGCUAGAAUUUCAGUCGGCUCAACCAUUGGUGUAUUGGGUGGAGAACCAUUUGUAGUUAGAUUUUUUUUUUUUUUUUUGUUUUUUUUUUUUGGUUUUCUAGAAAAGCCCGGUUUGAGAGAGAGUGCAGUGGGUAGAAAAAAAUGAAGGGUUAUCCUUCCCGCAGUCGUCCUCAGCAUCGCCCCUACGCCGGCCCCUAAGAACUCAGCUAUCUUCUCCAACUACUGGCACCUCGCCACCAAACGUACAUCGGCUCCUAAGAACUUGGCUCGCUUCGCCAACCACCGGAAAGGUAUCAACUCUCUUCCUCCCAACAGCUUCCCCCGCCGUCACACCGACAUUGGUCCCUAACAACUGGGCUCUCUUCCUCAACCGUCGACACCUCGCACUCGUAGACUUGCUCUUAAGAACUCGACUCUCUUUGCCAACUGCCAACACCAAAUUGCAAUUUUUGUUAUUGUCACUAGAAAUUGUCGAAAAUUUCAAUUUUUUCCUUCAUGUAUUUGAGUUAAAGUUUUAGAAUUUGAACAUAUUUUUAAUUAUUUAUUUUUUUCUUUUUGCAUAAUUUGACAUGCAUAUUUUCUGCUUGAAAUUGUAGUUUGAAUUAAGGUUUCAAUCUUUUGCUACCUAAUUAUCUGCAAAGGUGAGUUCAUUAUUUCAAUUUUUUUAGGUUCUAGUGCUCAAAUAAGUU
Molecule: long non-coding RNA, 731 nt
Filed under: Olea europaea subsp. europaea
Lineage: Eukaryota; Viridiplantae; Streptophyta; Magnoliopsida; Lamiales; Oleaceae
Source: RNAcentral